GCAACCCUGAGUACAGCGGCGUACGGGUGAGUAACACGUAGGUAUCCACCUCUUAGUGGGGAAUAACUUGGGGAAACCUGAGCUAAUACCGCAUAAGUCCGAGAGGAGAAAGCAGCAAUGCGCUGAGAGAGGAGCCUGCGGCCGAUUAGCUAGAUGGCGGGGUAAUGGCCCACCAUGGCGACGAUCGGUAGCCGGCCUGAGAGGGCACACGGCCACACUGGCACUGAAACACGGGCCAGACUCCUACGGGAGGCAGCAGUGGGGAAUCUUGCACAAUGGAGGAAACUCUGAUGCAGCGACGCCGCGUGGACGACGAAGCCCUUCGGGGUGUAAAGUCCUUUCGACCGGAACGAUAAUGACGGUACCGGUGGAAGAAGCUGCGGCUAACUACGUGCCAGCAGCCGCGGUAAUACGUAGGCAGCAAGCGUUGUUCGGAAUUACUGGGCGUAAAGAGUUCGUAGGCGGUGCGGUAAGUUCGGUGUGAAAUCUCCCGGCUCAACUGGGAGGGUGCGCUAAAUACUGCCGUGCUCGAGUAUAGGAGAGGAAAGCGGAAUUCCUGGUGUAGCGGUGAAAUGCGUAGAUAUCAGGAGGAACACCUGUGGUGUAGACGGCUUUCUGGACUAUAACUGACGCUGAGGAACGAAAGCGUGGGUAGCAAACAGGAUUAGAUACCCUGGUAGUCCACGCCCUAAACGAUGCAUACUUGGUGUGAGCCAUUCACUUGGUUCGUGCCGUAGCUAACGCGUUAAGUAUGCCGCCUGGGGAGUACGGUCGCAAGGCUGAAACUCAAGGAAUUGANGGGGGCCNGCACAAGCGGNGGA
This 821-nucleotide ribosomal RNA is filed under the name uncultured bacterium. Its description in RNAcentral is "bacterial SSU rRNA". It matches the Rfam family "Bacterial small subunit ribosomal RNA", at positions 79 to 936 of the family's 1533-position model. The record is from RNAcentral.